Molecule: ribosomal RNA, 448 nt
Filed under: uncultured bacterium
Lineage: Bacteria
Description: bacterial SSU rRNA
Rfam family: Bacterial small subunit ribosomal RNA
Source: RNAcentral
AGCGAACGCUGGCGGCAGGCUUAACACAUGCAAGUCGAACGCUCGUAGCAAUACGAGAGUGGCAGACGGGAGAGUAACACGUGGGAACGUGCCCUUUGGUUCGGAACAACCCAGGGAAACUUGGGCUAAUACCGGAUAAGUCCGUAAGGAGAAAGAUUUAUCGCCAAAGGAUCGGCCCGCGUCUGAUUAGCUAGUUGGUGAGGUAACGGCUCACCAAGGCGACGAUCAGUAGCUGGCUGAGAGGAUGAUCAGCCUCAUUGGGACUGAGACACGGCCCAAACUCCUACGGGAGGCAGCAGUGGGGAAUCUUGGACAAUGGGCGCAAGCCUGAUCCAGCCAUGCCGCGUGGGUGAUGAAGGCCCUAGGGUUGUAAAGCCCUUUCGGCGGGGAAGAUAAUGACGGUACCCGCAGAAGAAGCCCCGGCUAACUUCGUGCCAGCAGCCGCGGU